RNAcentral lists this ribosomal RNA (228 nucleotides) under uncultured Lactobacillus sp. RNAcentral's name for it is "partial 16S ribosomal RNA". It matches the Rfam family "Bacterial small subunit ribosomal RNA", at positions 134 to 354 of the family's 1533-position model. The record is from RNAcentral. Lineage: Bacteria; Bacillati; Bacillota; Bacilli; Lactobacillales; Lactobacillaceae.
GAGAUCGGGAUAACACCUGGAAACAGAUGCUAAUACCGGAUAACAANAGAUGAUGCCUAUCAACUGUUUAAAAGAUGGUUCUGCUAUCACUCUUGGAUGGACCUGCGGUGCAUUAGCUAGUUGGUAGGGUAACGGCCUACCAAGGCGAUGAUGCAUAGCCGAGUUGAGAGACUGAUCGGCCACAUUGGGACUGAGACACGGCCCAAACUCCUACGGGAGGCAGCAGAA